Pantherophis guttatus is the source of this 2166-nucleotide non-coding RNA. NCBI's taxonomy places the organism in Eukaryota, Metazoa, Chordata, Lepidosauria, Squamata, Colubridae. The record is from RefSeq and is a predicted model, not a curated record.
UGUGACCCCGACUCCCAAGCCUGUCCUAACAGAGGAAGAGGACUCAGAAGGUGAUGGGGAGGAACUGAUAAGGCCUCCCUCUCCAGGACCCUCCUCUCUGGCAAUGCCUCAGGUUCCAUCCAAAGGCCAAGAGGAACAGCCUGGGAUAUGCCAGGAGGAAAGCAUAUCGGAACAACAACAGAUAGGGAGUGAGGAUGAUGAAUCCUGGCUUGAUCCCAGGCAGCGUCGGAGGGAGAAGCGUGCGCAGCAACGAAAGAGGCGUGGGAGGACCAGAGAUUGAGCUGAGUCACUGAGCCACACCCCACAAGGAAUAAAAGUGGGUGUGAUUGCUCUUCAGGCUUUGUGAUGGUCAAAGUUAAAAACCUGAGAGUCACAUCGCGUUACCUGAAAUCUGGCUUGUGCAUAUUUGGAUUGGACCUUGGCUAACUCUUGCUUCGUGGAUUACUUUUUGCUACUGAACCGGACUGAGGAUAAACUCUCUCUUGCUUACUGUUCAUCAUUACAUCACAUACUGCAUCUGGAAGUGAGGAACGGGGAAGAGUGUGUCUACUUUUUAUACCUGUGGGCGGAGACUCAGGAACACCACCUGAAGCUGCUGUGACCACUCUAGGAUAUUGCCCCCAUCCAUCCUCAACUUUGGAAAGUCACUUGGCGAAACAGCGCAUGCGCGAAGUCCAUUUCUGCUCUGCCGUCGUCGUGGAAGGACCUGUUCAUCGCAGCUCCGGCGUAGAGGUCUCUAUCGGUCGGGUAGGCCUUGGCUUCGGUCUUGGGGGUCCAGGUGUGCUCCGGAAGGUGUUGGCUUGCAGCGGCUUCUUCGGGAUGAAGAUCCUGAUGGCGUUGGAGUCUCGGUGACGAAAGUUCAUCAUUACAUCACAUAACUGCAUCUGGAAGUGAGGAACGGGGAAGAGUGUGUCUACUUUUUAUACCUGUGGGCGGAGACUCUGGAUUGGAGAGUAUGAGCAAGUUAUAAAGCUGCAUCCACACAGAAUUACAAAUAUCCUUAAUUAUAUAAGAAUCAUAUAAUUCUUUAUAUCAGGAUUUGCCAAUAAGAUGCUCUCCUAAAAACCACCGCGGCCUAAUAACGACCAAGUUUGAUUAAUGUACCAUGGUUUGUAUGGGUCUUCCCUUGUCUAAAAUUACAACUGCUGCACAACAAAGGUAUUAAAUCCAUUCAAAACAAUUAAACCCUUUACAGAAUGGAGGCAUUCAGAACUUUCCUGCAUCAAUCAGAAAAAGAGUGUGAGGUGAGGUAGGGAGUGGUUCAGAUUACUAACUCGAUAUUACCUAUUAAAACUCUAUGGGACAUGGAAUUAGAUUAUCUGAGGGGUAUUUGAUGCUCUCUGAGCUUGGUUGUUGUUCUUUUUGCAGAUGUUUCUCUCUUUUUUUGGUCUCUAUUUUUAUUUUUUGUCUCUAUUUUUAUGCAUAUGUUUCAUUUAUCUAAUUAAAUAAUAUUGUGCACAGUUCAACCUGAUCUACAAAUAUUCUCUUCCAUGAGGUUAUCUGAAGGAGAAUCAGAAUGUUGCUUAAACCUAACUGAUUCAGUGGUGGUCCUAAAAUCUGGGACUAUCCUUACAUAUUGCCAAAAAUUAUCCAUAGCCCUUUUUAUUUUUUUCUGCUGACUCUGCCAAUGAAUUUCCCUUAUUAAUGAUUUUUUUUAUUCUGCAUUUGGUCUAUUUUAAUGAAUUGCAAUUUUAAUCAAGGAUUUAUUCAUUGCAGUAUAUUAGUAUAUAAGAUUUUGUAUAUUAAAUUAUGUUGCCAAUUUGCUUUGUAGUCUUUUUAUCUCCCAGUGACUUCAACUCGAUAAAACGAACUAAACAUGUAGAUAUCACGAUCUGUUUGAAAUGCAACAUCUUUAAUUCUAUAGGACUGCUUCACUUUUAUUUGAGGGUUAAUAAAUAGUUAUCAGCCUUGAAAUUCUCUUUUAUGGUUUCAAUCACACUGAGAUUCCGGUUCUUUCAUGACGCAAAUGUUUGUUGUUCCUUGGUGUCCUUAUAUAUAACUUCACUUACGUUUACUGGCCAAGUAUUGUUGACCUAAUUUGUUUUCUAGAUACACAAGUAAUUGGCAUUUUGUUUAUCCCUAUUGCCAUACUGCUUGUUAUGAAAUAACGUACUAUUGAAAAAAUAUGCAGUUAUAAAACUACAUAAUUAAAUCUUUAAUUACUCU